UCUAAUGUGGCAGAGUUGUUAAGUGCGGUGGGGUUAAGUUCCACAUAUGAAUGUAGAUUCUUUUAGAAAUG
Molecule: transfer RNA, 71 nt
Filed under: Challia fletcheri
Lineage: Eukaryota; Metazoa; Arthropoda; Insecta; Dermaptera; Pygidicranidae
Description: tRNA-Leu
Source: RNAcentral